Molecule: long non-coding RNA, 866 nt
Filed under: Rattus norvegicus (Norway rat)
Lineage: Eukaryota; Metazoa; Chordata; Mammalia; Rodentia; Muridae
Description: long non-coding RNA NONRATT023111
Source: RNAcentral
CCAGAAGUGCAUUAUUGACCCCCUACUACUACUUGGAAGAUAUUGGAUUCUUCCUCUUUCAUUUUGAACAACAAUCUCCAGCCUCUGGAAUGCUCUCUAUCUCUUGUUUCUUUACCAACUCCCUCUCUGAAAAAUACACUAUUGCCAUUCUUGCUCUUUGGCCUUACAAAGAACUAAGAGAUAGAACAAGGAAGCCCUGAGGCCCACUGUGCCCUCGGGUCAUCCUUCCUGAAAUGUAUUAGAAGAAUCUAUGGUUUGUGUGGUUUACAAGACCCUGAAAUUCACAGUAUCCCAUCUAUGAAAGGUGACGAAAGCUGCCUUAUGACCACAUACUACACAAGUGUCGAGCGACAGAACUGAUCCACUGCCCUUUCUGCAGGCAUCCCUGCUGUGUGAGAGCCUUGUGGCUUCAUAACCCUCUUCUGGAGAUGCUGUAAAGAAAAGCCACAGACAGUGUGUUUACCCAAGUUCUGUUUCCACACGCCCAGUCACUAGUCUACUGGAGGCUGUGAAGAUGAGGGCUGAACUCUGUGAUUCUGUAGUAUUUUAACAUUUUUAUCUCUAGUUUGAGACCUAACAUUCAAAAUCCCCAAAUAUAUUACAUUUAGCAUUCUAUUCUUCUACUGAACUUAAGGGUAUUUUUGUUUGAUCUUAUAUCCAGCAUAUAAGAUAAAAACACAAUGCCAAAAGAAUCUUUUCCCUUACAGAUGAGAAAAAAAAUUUUAAGCAAAUUGACAGAAGAAACUAAAGUAGCUCUCACAAAACUCCACAACUCCCUGAAUGAAAAAAGCAUAGAAGACUUCCUUUCUUGUCUGGAUUCUGCAACAGAAGCUUGUGACAUUAUGGUGAAAAAGGGAGACAAAAAA